AGAUGUGAGGGCGAUCUGGUGGCGACAUCUGUCACCCCAUUGAUCGCCAGGGUUGAUUCGGCUGAUCUGACUGGCUAGGCGGGUGUCCCCUUCCUCCCUCACCGCUCCAUGUGCGUCCCUCCCGAAGCUGCGCACUCGGUGGAAGAGGACGACUAUCCCAGAUAGAAGGAGUGUACCCUUCUUCGGUCAAGGGUAUACGAUAGCUGCACUCCCCUUCUAGAACCUCCAAACAAGCUCAAGGUACAACUACCUUAAAUAAACCAAUACUUUAAGAUAUGAAAGAAACCCAUUGUUUCUGUAUACAAU
Molecule: small nuclear RNA, 306 nt
Filed under: Podarcis lilfordi (Lilford's wall lizard)
Lineage: Eukaryota; Metazoa; Chordata; Lepidosauria; Squamata; Lacertidae
Rfam family: 7SK RNA
About the family: 7SK was discovered as an abundant small nuclear RNA in the mid-70s but a possible function has only recently been suggested. Two independent studies have found that 7SK RNA binds the CDK9/cyclin T complex (known as elongation factor P-TEFb). P-TEFb activates transcription by phosphorylating the C-terminal domain of RNA polymerase II.
Source: RNAcentral